GACGAACGCUGGCGGCGUGCUUAACACAUGCAAGUCGAACGGAAAGGCCCUGCUUUUGUGGGGUGCUCGAGUGGCGAACGGGUGAGUAACACGUGAGUAACCUGCCCUUGACUUUGGGAUAACUUCAGGAAACUGGGGCUAAUACCGGAUAGGAGCUCCUGCUGCAUGGUGGGGGUUGGAAAGUUUCGGCGGUUGGGGAUGGACUCGCGGCUUAUCAGCUUGUUGGUGGGGUAGUGGCUUACCAAGGCUUUGACGGGUAGCCGGCCUGAGAGGGUGGCCGGCCACAUUGGGACUGAGAUACGGCCCAGACUCCUACGGGAGGCAGCAGUGGGGAAUAUUGCACAAUGGGCGGAAGCCUGAUGCAGCAACGCCGCGUGCGGGAUGACGGCCUUCGGGUUGUAAACCGCUUUCGCCUGUGACGAAGCGUGGGUGACGGUAAUGGGUAAAGAAGCACCGGCUAACUACGUG
This 468-nucleotide ribosomal RNA is filed under the name uncultured bacterium. RNAcentral describes it as "partial 16S ribosomal RNA". It matches the Rfam family "Bacterial small subunit ribosomal RNA", at positions 28 to 507 of the family's 1533-position model. The record is from RNAcentral.